AGUGAACGCUGGCGGUAGGCCUAACACAUGCAAGUCGAACGGCAGCACAGUAAGAGCUUGCUCUUACGGGUGGCGAGUGGCGGACGGGUGAGGAAUACAUCGGAAUCUACUUUUUCGUGGGGGAUAACGUAGGGAAACUUACGCUAAUACCGCAUACGACCUACGGGUGAAAGCAGGGGAUCUUCGGACCUUGCGCGAUUGAAUGAGCCGAUGUCGGAUUAGCUAGUUGGCGGGGUAAAGGCCCACCAAGGCGACGAUCCGUAGCUGGUCUGAGAGGAUGAGCAGGCAGACUGGAACGGAGACACGGGCCAGACGGCUACGGGAGGCAGAAGGGGGGAAUGGGGGACAAUGGGCGAAAGCCUGAUCAAGCCAUGCAGCGGGUGAGAAGAAGGUAUUGGGAUGGUACAGCAUGUUAAGGUGGGAGGAAGGGAAGGAAGUUAAGACCGCGAGGUUCUGACGGUACCAACAGAAGAAGAAACGGCUAACUUCGUG
Molecule: ribosomal RNA, 492 nt
Filed under: uncultured bacterium
Lineage: Bacteria
Description: partial 16S ribosomal RNA
Rfam family: Bacterial small subunit ribosomal RNA
Source: RNAcentral